This is a small nucleolar RNA of Cannabis sativa, 90 nucleotides long. RefSeq annotates it as small nucleolar RNA snoR27. NCBI's taxonomy places the organism in Eukaryota, Viridiplantae, Streptophyta, Magnoliopsida, Rosales, Cannabaceae. The transcript has a single exon. The record is from RefSeq and is a predicted model, not a curated record.
AUUGGAUGAAUGAUGUUUAAAUUACUGUGUUAUCUAUCGGCAAUUUCCUAUCAAGGAAUUGAAGACGAUUAUAGUUGAUUGAGAUCUAGU